AUUGAACGCUGGCGGUAUGCUUUACACAUGCAAGUCGAACGGCAGCACGGGGCAACCUGGUGGCGAGUGGCGAACGGGUGAGUAAAGUAUCGGAACGUGCCCAGUCGUGGGGGAUAACGUAGCGAAAGUUACGCUAAUACCGCAUACGAUCUAUGGAGGAAAGCGGGGGAUCGCAAGACCUCGCGCGAUUGGAGCGGCCGAUAUCCGAUUAGGUAGUUGGUGGGGUAAAGGCUCACCAAGCCGACGAUCUGUAGCUGGUCUGAGAGGACGACCAGCCACACUGGGACUGAGACACGGCCCAGACUCCGACGGGAGGCAGCAGUGGGGAAUUUUGGACAAUGGGCGCAAGCCUGUUCCAGCCAUGCAGCGUGCAGGAUGAAGGCCUUCGGGUUGUAAACUGCUUUUGUACGGAACGAAAAGGUUUGGCUUAAUACGUUGAGCUCAUGACGGUACCGUAAGAAUAAGCACCGGCUAACUACGUGCCAGCCGCCGCCGUAA
Molecule: ribosomal RNA, 498 nt
Filed under: uncultured bacterium
Lineage: Bacteria
Description: partial 16S ribosomal RNA
Rfam family: Bacterial small subunit ribosomal RNA
Source: RNAcentral